GUAUGAUUUCAGCGUAAUUUGCUCGUCGAAACGAGCUUGAAUCAAAUCAAGACGUAUUAUUGGAAUAUUCCCAUCUCACCAAGAAAAUGGCUGAUCAAAUAUACAACAUGCUUACUGGUGAUGUGACUGAYCUUCCACCAAAGGAAUCCAAUAUUGUUAGAAUCUUCACUAGUUCAACAUUCACAGACACAUUUGAAGAGAGGAACAAGCUGAUGAAAGAUGUGUACCCGAGC
Long non-coding RNA from Exaiptasia diaphana, 233 nucleotides. RefSeq lists it as uncharacterized. The record is from RefSeq and is a predicted model, not a curated record. NCBI's taxonomy places the organism in Eukaryota, Metazoa, Cnidaria, Anthozoa, Actiniaria, Aiptasiidae. The transcript is spliced from 3 exons.